This 81-nucleotide transfer RNA is filed under the name Streptomyces omiyaensis. RNAcentral describes it as "tRNA-Trp". Lineage: Bacteria; Bacillati; Actinomycetota; Actinomycetes; Kitasatosporales; Streptomycetaceae. The record is from RNAcentral.
GCCGCCGUGGCCACCGCGGCCUUGGCCGCCGACUCCAGGUCGGCCUUGGCCUCGAAGCCGGGUUCCUCUCCGGUGGUGGCC